Molecule: long non-coding RNA, 1244 nt
Filed under: Chinchilla lanigera (long-tailed chinchilla)
Lineage: Eukaryota; Metazoa; Chordata; Mammalia; Rodentia; Chinchillidae
Description: lncRNA (ENSCLAG00000028349.1)
Source: RNAcentral
CUGGAAGGUUCAGGAGCAGAGCUGCUGUGGAAUCUUGUGCCACAGGCUUCUGAAUCCCAGCUCUGGUGCUACAACUAAUUUGGUGGCAAGGACCUUCCUGUCUUAACGUUUGCCUCAUUGGUCUCCUGUGGCCUCCAAAAUGCUCUUAGCAUCACUCCUGAGGGCUUUGUGAGUUCUUCUCCCCAGUAGAAUGUCUGCCCCAUGAGAGGGCACGUCUUGUCACUUCAGCAUGGCAGUAUGUAACCCUUAGCACCACUGGCUAUGAGCAUGGGGUAGGGUUUCUCUAUUUCUGCCCUGGCUUUUUUUCUCAUGGGAGACUUUCCUGUGCAUUACUGCAGGGCAUUUAUCAGCUCCCUGAUCUCUGACCAUGAGAUGCCAGUCACACUGGCCCCCACUCCUCAGUUCUAACAACUAAAAAUGUCUCUAGACAUUGCCAAAUGGCCCUUGGGGCAAAGUUGUCCCAGUGAGAACCACUGGUAUAGAGCAAUUGCACUUACGAUCUGGAGACACCAGAAGGAGACCAGCUUAGUUCCUUGAUGGGCUGGGUAUGAUUUCCCUUGCUGCUUCCUUUCCUCUGUGAAAGACUUACAUUCUGCUUCCUGCCUGGUUUUACUGGGCUAUCUCUCAGCUUCUCUCUAUUGCAGGCUCCUCAUUGAGCAGGAAUCAUUUCCAGGACCGGAGUGUUAGAACUGGUAGGAAAACUGAUGGCCCCUACCUCGAACAAUGAAUGAUGGGCUUGCGGACUUGAGCACUUGGCUUUUCCAAGGGCCACUCUGUGCAGAGUACAAACUGGCUACAGGAGAAGGAGGCACACCUGGCCUGCAGAUAUGCAAUCUGUGGUGCCGAAAAUGAAAUAUGCUGGCGCUGUAUAGACACUGUACUCACAACAGUGAAUGAAGAUCAGUGUGUGAGUGGUAACAGUCACAGUAACCACAGUAAAGAGUAACAAUGACAUCUCUGCAAGUUAUAGCUCAGAAUGUGCCUGGGCAGUCACUCAGCUCCUUUUGGAUCUAAGCAUAUAUCAGUUCCAUCUUACAGAUGACAAAACCGAAGCUUGAGAAGGUCACGUGACCCACUGAAGUUGUUUAUGAUCUUUGACCACAUCAAGAGACCGAAAGAAAAAAAAAGAAGAUAUGGAGGUGGAGAAAUGGGGGCCAAAGUCACAGAAAGGAUCAUGUGAGGUUGCUAAGUAUAUCCUCAGAGGCAGUGUGGAACACUUUGUGAAUAGAUCAAUAAAACACUGC